CCAGACUCCUACGGGAGGCAGCAGUGGGGGAUAUUGCACAAUGGGGGAAACCCUGAUGCAGCAACGCCGCGUGAGGGAAGACGGUUUUCGGAUUGUAAACCUCUGUCAUCGGUGACGAAAAGGACGGUAGCCGAUGAGGAAGCUCCGGCUAACUACGUGCCAGCAGCCGCGGUAAUACGGAGGAUGCGAGCGUUAUCCGGAUUUAUUGGGUUUAAAGGGUGCGCAGGCGGCACGGCAAGCCGGCGGUCAAAUCGCGGGGCUCAACCCCGCCCAGCCGUCGGAACUGCCGGGCUAGAGUGGGCGAGAAGUGCGCGGAAUGCGUGGUGUAGCGGUGAAAUGCAUAGAUAUCACGCAGAACUCCGAUUGCGAAGGCAGCGCACCGGCGCCCUACUGACGCUCAGGCACGAAAGCGUGGGUAUCGAACAGGAUUAGAUACCCGUGUACCU
RNAcentral lists this ribosomal RNA (446 nucleotides) under uncultured bacterium. Its description in RNAcentral is "bacterial SSU rRNA". It matches the Rfam family "Bacterial small subunit ribosomal RNA", at positions 331 to 797 of the family's 1533-position model. The record is from RNAcentral.